This 318-nucleotide unclassified non-coding RNA is filed under the name soil metagenome. RNAcentral describes it as "partial contains small subunit ribosomal RNA, internal transcribed spacer 1, and 5.8S ribosomal RNA". The record is from RNAcentral.
UUUCCGUAGGUGAACCUGCGGAAGGAUCAUUAUCGAAUAAACUUUGGAUGGGUUGCUGCUGGCCCCCUCUAGAGGGGGGGGGGACAUGUGCACGCCUGCCACCAGUUUAUCAACCACCUGUGCACUUUGUGUAGGUUGGAGAAAACAUCCUCGGGAACAAACUCGGAUUUUGAGAACUGCUGUAACUAGGCUGUUCUUGUGUCUCUCCAAUCUAUGUCUUACAAUUAUACCCGUAAUGUAUGCAUCAGAAUGUAUUGUGUAGGCCACUGAUGCCUUUAAAAACAAAUACAACUUUCAACAACGGAUCUCUUGGCUCUC